Molecule: unclassified non-coding RNA, 331 nt
Filed under: uncultured Pseudoalteromonas sp.
Lineage: Bacteria; Pseudomonadati; Pseudomonadota; Gammaproteobacteria; Alteromonadales; Pseudoalteromonadaceae
Description: partial 16S-23S ribosomal RNA intergenic spacer
Source: RNAcentral
CCUCCUUAUACGAUUUAGAACUUAUUUGUUCGUAGUGUCCACACAGAUGAUUGUUAGUUAGUUUUACCCUUUGGGUUUAACUGAUUAAUAUGCUCUUUAAAAAUUUGGAAAAGCUGAUAAUAAAAUUCGUAUGAAUAACAGUGUUAUUUGUACAGAGUUUUCAAAAGUAAAAAAGAAUGAUAGCAGUAUCAUUCAGUGCCAAUUUAAUCAUUUAUGAUUAAUUGGUAUCUACUUUAGUAUUCAAUAUUAACUUCUGGCGAAGUUAAACUGUCACAUAACAAAGACCCGUUUGGGUUGUAUGGUUAAGUGACUAANCGUACACGGUGGAUGC